UUAUCUGAUGAUGGAUGGUAUUAUAAUGUAUGUAUGUUCGAAAGUGAAACCUCAUCUCCAGAUUCAACAAUACAACCUCGACCACAAUUUUAUGGAAAAAAAUUGGUAAGCAUCCAUAAAAUGAGGAUUACAUGCUAAAAAACUACGGCAAAAUGGGCAUAUAUCAUACAUCACAAAAGGAAUUUACGCUGCUUCUAUAGGCUCUCCUACCUCUCAAGAAAAUAUGUCUACCGGAAUAAGAUGUUGCCACUUUGAUUUCCUCUUUUACCUGAAUGAACACAUUUGGUGAUACAGUACAGCUGACUGAAGAAAAUCAAAGACAACUUAUAAUCGUCUGCGCAAACAGACAUUCCAUCUCCAACUGACAAAGAAUACAGGCCAAGAAAAUCAGCACCUUCGUCAAUGGACUGCAAAAUUUUCAAGGGUAAUUCACAUGAUUUGUGCACCUUAAAACCUGAAAAGACCAUUCUGCUUCUGCACAUACCAUGUCCAAGUGUGCUUAGGUACUGGAGGGUGGUGUUCCUUGACUAAAUGAUGUUAAACGUUCAAUAAGACUGCCCUUCAAUGAUUGAGGAAUUUGUGAGAUAAACAUUGAUUUGGCAUCUGCAAUCAACAACUCCUUCAUCGCAUUAACAUCUGAUGCUUGAAAGUUUGAUUGUGUCCCCGACUUUUUGGAACGCAUAAAAGCAUAAACUUCUUCUGACCAACCACAUGUUCUUAGAAAUGAUGAAGCUUCCUGAUGGAGCUCUUUUUUUAAUUCUUCCACCUUUGCACGAGACUGAACAUCAUACUCAAGCAAGAUGCACUGAUCUGGUGAUUUUCUCUUUGAACCUGAGAUAGAAGACGAUUCAACAUGGCCAUUGGAUGUAUCCCUGUAUGCAGAAGAUAUUGCUGCCAGGCUUUCACUAUUCUCCCCAUUAUUUCUAUGCAGACUUCCCCUCAAGGUAUCCGUUGCAACACUUUGAAUUUUACCAUUUCCAUUUGCUAAAGAUGAUGAUCUAUUCACCUCUUUGUGGUAUGAAUCCUUUCCUGCAGCCUUUCCAUUACUUCCACCAUAAUCUUCAUGGGGACCGUCUGCUACAGGGCUGGUUGCUACAAUUGGAAGUUUUCCAUUUCCAUUUCCAUUUGUUAAGGCAUGUGAUCUUGUCCCUUGGCCAUUACCACAACUUUUGCUAACACCAUUCUUGUUUGAUAAUGAUGUAAUCUUUUUCUCUGUAAGAACUGAUGCUCUCACAUCACCAGUUCUAUUGCCAGAUUCUUUUGAAUGAAAAACCAUUUUGAUAUUACCAGAGGUAGGUCUCUUGAAGGAAGAUUUUUCAAAUAUGCCCAAAUCUCGCACUGGGCUCGAAUGCACUUUACUGACCUUAGACAUCACUACAUUUUCUUUCUCGGAGGGGUGGCCUAAAACUUGCUUUUCGUUUACUGUUUUUGCUAAGUCACUGGUCAAGAUUUUGGAUUUAGCCAAGCCAUUGGAGUGAUUGGAUUUUGAUCCAUUAAUUGAUAAACAUGUCUUGGUGGAUGGUGACCUCUGUUUGGUACGAGAGAAGAAAAGGAUGUACACCUUUUCUGACAACACUUCUUGCAAGAUUUUAGGAGAAACCUGAGAAUCAUUACAGCAGUACCAACGACCCACAGCAUCCUUAAUAUAUGCAUAAUAGUGCCCUGAAUCUGGUGAAAAGCCUGAGUGGACAAUAGUUCCAAAAAGAUUGUAUUCUGGAUGCAGAUCCUGGCUUGCUUUGCACAUGUAGCUUGAAAGCACUAGAACCUCCUCAAAUGCAAUGGGCUUAUCAAUCUUCCCACCAUAUAUUCCUUCAAACCUCUUGAGCUGAAUGACAAGAACAUUCGGUGCUUGAAGAAUUGACAUUUGCUUCCUUGCUGUCACCAAUUUCUUACAAUUUUCACAUCUGUACUUAUUGCUGCCAUCCAAAAUCUCAGGCUGAAAAAACUUUUGCAUUGCUUCUCUAAGCGAAUUACCAUGCAAAACAUCGAGACUAAUGUCCAUAAUCUCAUCAACCUUAUUGGACUCAGAAUCACAUGACAAGCACUUCACCUGGCUCUGCAGAGCACCCCCAAAUAUCUCCUUAACGAUGGUAUUGCUGCCGUUAAUGGAGUCAUUCCCCAUGCGGCGCAUCUUCAUGAGUCGCAAGCAGGUGUUGUGGCAAGCAUCAAUGACAUAACGCAGGAACUCAUGUGCAUCCUCUUGGCGACCGCACCGAAAGUGCUCAGCAAAAAUCCUGAGACAGCUCUGGAUCUUAGCUGGGGCAUCAAGAGUUAGGUCCAGACUUAGGGAACGGACUAUCCGUUUCUCCAGUAUGCAAAAUGGACACUCCCGCUUUCGCUCCCCGUUGGAAACCGAAUCACAGAGAGAAGAGUGUUGUAAACGAAGACAAAAAUUGGCAAGGGGAGGAGUGUAAGUAAGGCACUGAAGGACGCUAUUGAGAUAGCAAGAGUUGCCGAGAUUUCUCAACCCUAAAGGCGGGCCGUUCUUCCUUUUCUGACUGAGCAAACUCGGCUGCCAAUUCAUCUGCAAUUGCAAUCCCAUUCAUCAACACCAUCAAUAAUUCGAUGAUGAUGAAGAAGAAGACGGUGAUGAUGUCGUUCUUCCCUCUUCAUUUAAAACGACAAACUGAGCGAAGUCAUUGCUCGUCGACGACCGCCGCGACGAAUCGCAUCACGAAGGAUGGAUUAAGAGAAAGGAACAGUGAAAUUGGGCAUUUUUUGUUGGAUUAGAUACUGCAGAAGCAGUCCUACCAAAGCCCCAAAAUUUGAGUAAUCGGAUUUGUUGCGACUUGCGAGGGUUCUCUCUUCCCUUCCUUGUCCUUCUUCCUUCCCCUCUCCCCUCUC
This 2844-nucleotide unclassified non-coding RNA is filed under the name Hevea brasiliensis (rubber tree). The record is from RNAcentral. Lineage: Eukaryota; Viridiplantae; Streptophyta; Magnoliopsida; Malpighiales; Euphorbiaceae.